RNAcentral lists this ribosomal RNA (482 nucleotides) under uncultured Rhodococcus sp. RNAcentral describes it as "partial 16S ribosomal RNA". The record is from RNAcentral. Lineage: Bacteria; Bacillati; Actinomycetota; Actinomycetes; Mycobacteriales; Nocardiaceae.
CACGUAGUUAGCCGGUGCUUCUUCUGCAGGUACCGUCACUCACGCUUCGUCCCUGCUGAAAGAGGUUUACAACCCGAAGGCCUUCAUCCCUCACGCGGCGUCGCUGCAUCAGGCUUCCGCCCAUUGUGCAAUAUUCCCCACUGCUGCCUCCCGUAGGAGUCUGGGCCGUGUCUCAGUCCCAGUGUGGCCGGUCACCCUCUCAGGUCGGCUACCCGUCGUCGCCUUGGUAGGCCAUUACCCCACCAACAAGCUGAUAGGCCGCGGGCCCAUCCUGCACCACAAAAGCUUUCCACCCCAGCACAUGCAUGCUGAGGUCAUAUCCAGUAUUAGACCCAGUUUCCCAGGCUUAUCCCAGAGUGCAGGGCAGAUCACCCACGUGUUACUCACCCGUUCGCCGCUCGUGUACCCCGAAAGGCCUUACCGCUCGACUUGCAUGUGUUAAGCACGCCGCCAGCGUUCGUCCUGAGCCAGGAUCAAACUCU